CCUGGGAACACUCUCUGUCUGGCGAUCCUUUCUUCUGGGUUAUUUGGUGGGUCCUGUUCCUCAGGAUAGCUCUUGUGUUACUCUCCUUCCUGAACUCAAUAGCGGCAUCACAAGAUAAAAUGGGAUGUGCCCUACCAGCCCCUAUGAUAUCAGUGUAAAUAUGGUCCCAUUGUCCUGGCCCUCCAGGAUUGUUAGAAGUGUCUCUUCAAAAAAUGCUGGAUUGGGAUUGGAGUCAAAACAAGGAAUGGACAGUUUGGGAAUAUGUAACACAGGAAAUAAAUUCAAUAGGAUUAUUAUUAUAGUUCCAACAUUUUUAUUACUCUCCUAAAAAAGAGUUGUUUAAAAAAUUUUAAAACUUAGAAAUUAUUCCUUUAGCAUAUCUGCAAGGUAUUGCAACCGCAUCUCUUGAUUUUUUUUUCUUGAUGCUACUUCUUUCUGUUGACUUACUGAAAGUCCUCUUUGCUCCAUGCUACAGUUCUCUUCAUUCUGUGGAGGUGAUUAUUAAUUUAGCCAUUCAAAGAGCAUUGUGAUUUGUCUUCUCCAUUUCUUUCUUGAGGUAUUUAUCUGAUGUAAAUCACUGUUCUAUUGAACAACACAUUAUUUUUGUGCCAUAUUUUGAUUGUGAAUGAUCCUUGUUUUUAAGAAAAGGAAGCAAAAUAGAGCAAAAAAAUUCACUGUAUGAAUGGACAAAAGAGAAUUUUAAAAGCCCUGUUUUAAAUUGUCAGUACUGCAACUGUCAUCAUGUACAUGCUUAGGAGGAUAAAGUACUGUAGGCCUUUUUUCAUUCAAAUAUUGGUAUCCCCUAUAAAAAUACAUAUGCAUAAAACGCUGAUUCUUUAACUCUGUACACUGUGCAAGUCAAGGGCCCUGCAGAAAUUUGCAGUACAGACACUGCUAUCCACUCUGGAGUAAAAAGGCACACUGAUAAAAGAUAGUCCUACAUCUAUUGCAAGUAUCCUACUUGCCUUCCUAACAUUAUGUAUAGGUUUGAAAGUGUGGUAAAUCACUUGAGUGUUAAAAUUUUAUUGACUCUGCCAAGAUAGAACUUAUAUUGAGGUGGAUUAUAUGUGUUUAAGUUAAAAACAUUUCUCACUGUGUUUUGUGUAUCUCACUUCCUAUCGACUUUUAUUACCAUCUGAUAUGGUAACAUAAGCUUAGUAUAGCCCACCAAUAACCUAACUACCUAGACUCCUUCAAUAGUACUAAACAAAACCUGUGGCCAAUUAUAUAGGUCCUUGCAGAAAACAUACAAAAGCUGAACUGGCUAUGCACAGAUAUGAAAUGCUGAUAUUCAAGUAAUCUCUGUAACUGGAAGCAACCUUUUUUAAAUUCUACCUAUAGUAAACGCAUUAGAACAGUUCUUGCCUUUCCUGAGGCGCUUUAGAAUUUAGUAUUAAAAAUAGGCAUUUACUUGAGAUCUGAGUAUUUUCCUAAUUCAAAUUCUGAGCCCAAAUGCACUGUUGAAGUGUAAGACUGAGAUACAAGACCUGAAUCCUAGUCAUUUGGAAAGGCAGCCUUUACUGUGAGUGUAAAAUAAAUAAAAAUAUCAGAUUAACGGGAAAUGAUUCACGGCCGUAUCCCAAGUACAUCCCAUUGGUAUAAAGUGUCAUAGCAUAGAGAUAUCAACCUGGGGCUUAAAAUAGUCUGCCUGUGCCAGGACAACUUCUCCUACAGGGCCUAUUUGACUGCAAUUUGGGAAUCUGUGAUGAACUCUGCUGUAUGUUCAAUAUACCUUCAGUUCUGAAACUGAAGCUUUAUUUUACCUCCUCCUCUUUUCAAAAUAACUUUUUUCCUCCUUUCCACAUUCCUUAGUGCUGCUAAUGGGGGAUGGCAGCUGUCACGAGAUCUGGUAGCUACAAGAUUCUUUUGUCAAUGGGAAUAUUUUCCUGCUGAGCUUGACAGCCAGAAUGAAAUAUUUUUAUAUCAUCUUUAUGAGCACUGUAAUGUUUCUCAUGAUAAACUAGAUACGUCCAUUUAAACUGUUAGCUCACUUAAUUGAUUCAUCUCUUAUAUUUCAUUGUGACUUUACAACUUGAGAAUAAAUUUUCACUUUUAUUGGACAGCUUUUAACUAGCUCUUAUUAAAGGUUGUCUAUCAAGAGGGUGCAUGAUGUUGCACUAAAUCAGUAUGGCAUCUGACGUGCUAACAUGUGGACAAAGCUAGUUGUAACAUAAGUAGAUAUGUAGGAAAUAGAUAAGUAGAUAGGAAAUAGAUAAGUAGAUAUGAAGGAAAUGGUAGAUCAGCAGCACAACGGGGACAACUACAUAUAUCUGAGACUAGUCUGUCUUUGUUUUUUUUUUUUUGGCGUACUUAAUGAAAGGGAAGAACUUUUUUGGCUGAAUUAGUAGCGUCUAGGUUGAAAUCUAGCUGCGCAUGAAGUAGUUGUUUUAAAUGUGUGUAACUGACUUCAGAAGUGCAACAACAAAUUUGUGGAUUCCCUUAAAACUUAUGAACCUGUGAAAACUUAUGAUUGGAAGAAACUUAGGAUCUCUGGGGCCAGAAGUUAACUUGGUAUUUGGAGCUGUAGACUUUGAAUUACAACAAUUUUCAAUGAUCUUAAGUAUUGUUCUCUCAGAUUUUUAUAUUGGAUGAUGAAGUGUCCCUAGAGAACAAUGGGGUCUCACUCCUAGUGACCUGGGCUUGCCUAUCUCCAAAAAUAGAGAGGAGGAGAGUGUGUGCUAAGGGAUCUGACACUGGGACAAGUGCGAGUCUACGAUUGACUUCUGCUGUAUCUCUUGCUUUGUCGCUCCCAUUCAGUGGGCCAGUUUUGCAGAGCUGCUCACUUGUAGAGCUCUAGAGAUGUAGCUUUAGCAGGAGGAGAGUGUGGCAGACCGGCAAAAGCUGUGCUGGUGACCCAGUGCACCUUGUCAGAACUCUCAGGUUUUUUGUAGAAAAACUUAGAACAAGUCAGAGCAUGCUGCAGGUGAGAUCUUUUUCUGCUCUUAUUUGAAAAAGAUGGAAAAUUGUUUUUUCUUCUGCAACUUAUUUUUCUAAUUUAGUGAAUGCCUAAGCAAGCAAGGGAGAUGCUUCUCUUGACUGUUACAUUAUGGCUCUCCUUUCGUAAUGUAACAGUGUGGUUUUCCUAUAUCCACUCAACACAUCUACUAAAGGAGACAUGGGAAAACAUGGAGGAUGAAGUUCUGUUUCUUUAAAAUUUGGUGGAAGGGACAUUAUUCAUUCUUUCCAAAGCAUGUAUCAUCUGCAAAUGUAGUAUGUCCACUUAAAUACUUAUACAUUUCAGUGCAAUAUCAUUUUGAUACACUUUAGACACACUCCUAACACAGUGAAAUACAUCAAAAUAGGUUGUAGAAAGCUUAAUAGUGUUGAGAUCCUCUUAAGUGAGCAGAUGUGGUGUCAGUUUGUGUGGAUGUCUUUUACUGGUACCUGUAUAUGUAGACAGAGAAACAUAUGCCAGAAAACAGGACAAAGAGGAAAAAGUUUUGUGUUGAAAGAUAAGUGUGAAAGUCUCCAGGAACCCAUAAGCAAUGGGGACCUGUGGUGCUAUUGUAUGCAUGAGAAAUGGUAAACUUAGGACGCUGGGAGUCAGUGAAACUCUGCAAGCCCACCUGCACUCUUUAGCAUGAAUGACAGGCAGUAUAAUUCAGACCACAUCCAAGAAGACAGUGGCAGCUAUAUGCAGAUCAAGUCAUCAAGAUUAGCUACAUAUCUAUUGAAACAAACAGUACCUUGAGAGGCUUUCUGACCAGCCAUUGAUGAAUCCAUAUAAUGUGUUGCUUCUGGAUAAACACCAGGGUUUGGUCUACCAACUUUAGUUCCAUUAAAGUAAUUGUGUGUGUAGGUGUACAGGAGGGGAUAAGUAAAUAAUAUCAGGUAACUAUUCACAUGGUGAAUUCAAUAACAGCUUAUUUAUUAGAGCGUCUUUAAUAGGCAGUAAUCUGUGCGUUGUCUCAGUCUCAUAUGAGGUAAAGUGUUAUUUACAGCAAAUGACUACAAUAGGUACUUCUGACUUUAAAAUACACAUUUUAAUGAUAUAUGUAAAUUGCGAGCACAGCUUUCACCGUUAAGUUUAAACUUUGGUUUUGGAAGUUCAGACUGAAGCGAAGCUACCAAGAAUCAGUAUGUUGAUACAUCUGUAAGGUGGUCUUAAACAGAAACUACUUCUAAACCUCUAAAGAAUGUCUACUGUGGAGGAGAGGCUUUAUGCAACGAAGUUAAAGAUUGGAUUUAAGUUUUGACUGGCUUGAAAUAAAAGCAAAAAGUAUGGAAGAAAGGCUAUAAUUAUUGGAAGAACAUAAUGUGAUGCUUAGACAGGAUGUGAAAUUCACUGAGGAACAUAUUGCAGCUAUAAUUAGAGAUAGUGUUUCAGUCACUUUAAAAAUGAGUCAUUAGAGAAUGCAUUAAAAAGUAAAAUUAUACAUCUGUUGGGUCUCCCAGUUGGGACGGAAGCACAAGACCUAAAAAGGAGAUGCAAAUUUUUCUUCUAAGGCACUCUGAGGUUAAAUUCCAGAAGUGAAGCACAAUUAAAGCUUUGCAGUUGGAAACAGAUCAAAAACCAGAAAUAUAGGGUGGCUUGCAAUACCUUCAGUAUAUACUUCUAGGAUAUAUACAGGAGUACUGAUAAUCUUAUUUCUACAAGGAGUUGCAAUUGAUUGAUUAAGUUUUAUAGUGAAUUCCUCUUGGCUUUCAUCCUUGCUCCUAAUCAUAUGAGUGAUGAAGGUAGAAAUAUUUGCAGUUUGUUCUUGUAAUGUACACAAAAUAAGAACAGUUGAGUGACUUAUAGUCCCAGUCCUUCUGUGUUCAUCCAUAUCAAAUGAACUGGAUGGAGAACAGUUUUCACUAUUUGUUGCUCAACUAUAAUAGAUAAUUUUCAAUUAAAUAUUUCUAAUCAUACUAGGGUUAUGGGUGAGAAGCACAGAUGUCAAUUUUUGAUUGCGUUGGGUUUUUGCAAAGAGUUGAAUUUCCUAGGGGAGGAGAAGCUUGUCAGAAGGAGGUCAAUGCAUAUACUUGGCUCCACAUAUUUCUCAGGCUGUUUGCGUGAAGCAGUUCUCCAAUAAAAUAUAUCCACUAGCACGUUUAAUGAAGUAGUAAGUUAAAGGAAAAUGAGCUAUGCAGUAAUAAGAGAAUUUUUGUAUCUGGUCCUACAGUUUUUUCUCUUUUCAGCAUCUAACACUGAUUAUUCUCUAGAUCUUUUUCUUUCUUAUUUCAAAAUAAUCUCUUUUGAAAAGUCUUACGUUUUCAUCCACAGUUGUACCACUGACUAAAUUUGUGUAGAGUUGAAAUAAGGUAACUCUGUAUCAGAGGUCUAUUUGAAAAAAACAGUAACUUACAGAUCUGAAGUCUCUAAUUCUGCAUGAGCAAUGCAAUUGCUGAAUACUAGGGAAACUAUGGAUGCAACACUGCUUAUAAACUCCUUACUUGGAUCCAUUUGUUUAACUUCUAAAACUUUUUGUUGAGUGUGAACUGUAAACGCAAU
Numida meleagris (helmeted guineafowl) is the source of this 5434-nucleotide long non-coding RNA. RefSeq lists it as uncharacterized. Lineage: Eukaryota; Metazoa; Chordata; Aves; Galliformes; Numididae. The record is from RefSeq and is a predicted model, not a curated record. The transcript has 3 exons.